This is a long non-coding RNA of Carassius carassius (crucian carp), 427 nucleotides long. RefSeq lists it as uncharacterized. The transcript is spliced from 3 exons. The record is from RefSeq and is a predicted model, not a curated record. NCBI's taxonomy places the organism in Eukaryota, Metazoa, Chordata, Actinopteri, Cypriniformes, Cyprinidae.
AAGUUGUUCCGGAUUGAUUUUACAAGAUGUGGAACAUCAAAUAUGAGUGGAAUUUGUCUUUGUAGGAUGCAGUGUGAUCCAUUGCCAUCCUCAUUGAUGUCCAAGAAAGCACCAAGGGAUCUCAUGGCCUUCACAUUUGUGGACCCCUGGUCACAGACAAUGCAUCUGACCUGAAACACUGUCGAGGCGGGUGAUGGCUUCCUUUAGUUUCCUGGCAAUCUCAUCACCUGUCAUGGCAGAUUUGCACAGGAAAUAGCUGAUUGCCUAAAAGACCUGCUUCCAUUUUCCAUUUAUGGCCCUAGCCAGGAACACCAUAACUUAACGAGCCUGGAAGCCAUCUGGUGUAAGACCAUCAAUUGAGUCUGUUUUCCUGUCGUAGUCAAGGUGGCAUUGUAUAGACAUCUUGUCCAGCACAAGGGAACAGAUC